Molecule: ribosomal RNA, 500 nt
Filed under: uncultured eukaryote
Lineage: Eukaryota
Description: SSU rRNA
Rfam family: Eukaryotic small subunit ribosomal RNA
Source: RNAcentral
AUGGUCAAGAAUCAGCCAUGCAUGUCUCAGUAUAAGCUUCUAUACGGCGAAACUGCGAAUAGGCUCAUUAAAACAGUUAUAGUUUAUUUGGUGGUCAGCAAUUACAUGGAUAACCGUGGUAAUUCUAGAGCUAAUACAUGCGCCCAAACCCGACUUCGUGGAAGGGUUGUGUUUAUUAGAUACAGAACCAACCCAGGCUCCGCCUGGCCUUGAGGUGAUUCAUAAUAACCGAACGAAUCGCAUGGCUAUGCCGGCGAUAGACCAUUCAAGUUUCUGACCUAUCAGCUAUCGUCGGUAGGGUAUUGGCCUACCGUGGCAAUGACGGGUAACGGAGAAUUAGGGUUCGAUUCCGGAGAGGGAGCCUGAGAAACGGCUACCACAUCUAAGAAAAGGCAGCAGGCGCGCAAAUUACCCAAUCCUGACGCAGGGAGGUAGUGACAAGAAAUAACAAUACAGGGCAUACAUGUCUUGUAAUUGGAAUGAGUAAACUUUAAAUCACU